RNAcentral lists this transfer RNA (63 nucleotides) under Marmota monax (woodchuck). Its description in RNAcentral is "tRNA.Leu". It matches the Rfam family "tRNA". From Rfam's summary of the family: Transfer RNA (tRNA) molecules are approximately 80 nucleotides in length. The record is from RNAcentral. Lineage: Eukaryota; Metazoa; Chordata; Mammalia; Rodentia; Sciuridae.
GAGAGUAUAGCUCAGUGGUAGAGCAGCUGUGCAAAGUCCUGGGUUCAAUCCCCAGCACUGCUA